UACAAGAAUUAGCCAGGUGUGAUGGUGUGUGCCUGUAAUCCCAGCUACUCUGGAGGCUGAGGCAGGAGAAUCGCUUGAACCCAAGAGACGGAGGUUGCGGUGAGCCAAGAUUGGGCCACUGCACUCCUUAUUUCCCCUUCUUUCUCACACAAAAGGCAGCAUACUAUACAUGCUCUUUUGCACGUGGCUUUUUGCAUUACUAAUGUCUCUUGGAAACCACUCCAUGUCCAUUCCCAACUAUUACACGUACUCUUUUUCACAGCUGCAUUGGGUUAACUUCAAAAGUGCCAUACACAUAUACAAAUACACAUGCACACAACGCUGACAAAAUGCAAUGAAAAAGGUAGACCACAGGGAGAGAAUGUUACUAAUGCUGAGAGGAAACUUAAGAAGCCAUAGAAACUGAAAGAACAUUGUUCAUGUUUUAACAAAACUGAAACACUGCAAAAUUAGGGGUGGGGAGGAAACAGUGUUAUGUUGAGCAAACUAUACUGUCUUAUCACACGUGAUUGAUAAAUUUGAGACAUUGACAAUACUUCCCAGCCAGAAGUUAAGAUGAUCAAUGUUACUCUUGUCAGCCUUUCAAAUUGGUUUCCCAAUGGAACAUUUGGGAGCUUUCCAUAAUGUUGCAAGUAACAUUACAUAGCUAAAACAGACUCAGCAUUUCUUGGAGGGUUUCAAAAUAAAAAAUAAAACGUUCAUUUUAACAAUCUGAAAGGCAACAUUUAGUGAGAAAUAUCACUGCCUUUCAUCAGUCUCUCUUCUCUGUUAAAUGGUUUAUUCAUGAACUGACAGGUUUUAAAAAUUUUUUCCUUUUUAAAAAUCUUAUGUUUCAUUAAUAUAAUUGAUACUGUGCUUAUAAGAUUAUAUUUUAUGGUAAGAAAAGAUAACUAGAGUUACAUACUUAAAGCAAACAAUAGGCCCAUUAAAUUCAGUCAUAAAAAAUUAUAAGGUUCAGAGACCUGGAAAAAAUUACAGAUCGACUCGAGCCCAGAAGGGUGAAUAAACUUUCUCUAGGUCACACAGCUAGUUUAGUAGCCUAGUACAACUAAGGGCCUGUGUCUUGUGAAAACCUGCCAGCUGUGUGUUCCACAUAAAGGGACAGAAGUGGCAACUAAACAGGCAAAACGAAACCUGGCUAGAGGCCAUGGAAGGCCCCAAGGACAUUUCCAAAGAAGCGCCAGUGCUCUUGAGUACAAAAGUUAAGGUGUUUUGCUUUGUCAUUUUCUUUUCCCAAAAAGCCACAAAAUAACAUUUUCUCAUAUGAAAUUGAUUUUGUCACUAAUAAAGGAAAAGAAACAUUAUUCAAAGUUCCACACCUCUUGACAAAAGCAGGUACAAAUUAUAUACUAUUAUUUAAAAUGCUUGUAAAAUGGGCCAUAACAUGAGGAAAAAACAAAACAAACACACAAACAAAACACCGUCACCAUGCCUAGAGAAACUGAAGACAAGCUACUGGUGAAAUUCCUAAAAGCAAUAAUUAUUAUAUGUGUGUGCCAUCCACUCCACAUUAUGAGAUCGAAUAGAUGAUGCUUUGUCAUGAUUAUUUUGUGAACCACAGUAGAAUGGGGAAGGUCUGUGGCCAUCAGUGCUGGCAGAGCAUCAGCUAGGGGUGUAUCACGGAAGAGCGCUCAAGUGAUAUAGCUGCAAGAUUCCAACUGAAUGCCCCUCAAUAGUCUAUGUUAUUCAAAGGCACGGGUAGGCAGUCAAAAAUAUUUUCCUCAUUUUAAUUCAGCAUUGAGAGAGGUGGGGGAAAUUGGGCCUGCAAUCAAAUCCUGGCCACCGAGGCACACAUUUUAACAUGUUAUACAAAGAACUGGGCAAGGACCUCAGGCCACUGAUUUCUAAACCUUCACACGAUAGCUCUCAAAGGGAAAGAUGUUCACAGGAGGAAUUUUAUAUGCAGAUGACAAAAACAAAAUUUCUUACUACACAAAGGCCUUUGCCAUGAAUUCAGCAGCCUGCUCAAAUGGUUUAUCUCAGCAACAUCUUCCACAUAUAAAAUUGUUCCAAUGUGUCCCUUGGGGGACAAAAUGUCACUAUU
RNAcentral lists this long non-coding RNA (2044 nucleotides) under Homo sapiens (human). Its description in RNAcentral is "non-protein coding lnc-ARHGAP28-9:1". Lineage: Eukaryota; Metazoa; Chordata; Mammalia; Primates; Hominidae. The record is from RNAcentral.